AACAGUACACAUUUGACAUCUGGUACACAGCCGGGCUGAAUUGUGCAUUGGAUGUGAUUGUUUUGGUGCCGCGUCAUCCACUUCCUGGNACGGCACACNGGGUAAGAUGCCCGUCCAGUUGGGCUCAACGCCUAUGCUGUGCUCCUUCCCUUCGACGAGUCGAUUGGGAUGGCAACUCUGCUCUAAACGGGAGGACCCCUUCCUAAGCUCGGUAACGGGAACGAUACCGCAGACGUCAAGUAUCGUGAUCAUAAGAUGACUUUACUUUGAGGGAAGAGACAUACAUGACGUGAAGUUGUUGAAAGGGAACGGCAUGAUGGCAGACCUGUCCCGGUAAACCAGCCGUCUCUCCGGUGCACUGCACUCUGCUCAGGGCAGGAUAGGAUCAUCUCGUGGACAAGGAGAAAGGAAACGGAACCGUCUCUUCGGGUGUUAUACGCCGCACGCAUAGCCCAGGCGAGCUGAGAGUCGCGCUCCGCAAGGAUGCUGGCGUAUGGGCAACAGCGACCCGUCUUGAAACACGGACAAGGAGCGGUCUAAUGCGAGUGUUCGGGUGGNAAACCCUACGCGGAAUGAAAGUGAACGGAGGUGANAAGUUCGGG
RNAcentral lists this ribosomal RNA (602 nucleotides) under Corollospora fusca. Its description in RNAcentral is "eukaryotic LSU rRNA". It matches the Rfam family "Eukaryotic large subunit ribosomal RNA", at positions 103 to 748 of the family's 3401-position model. The record is from RNAcentral. Lineage: Eukaryota; Fungi; Ascomycota; Sordariomycetes; Microascales; Halosphaeriaceae.